UUUGAUCGAGCCCAGCCACAGCGGCCGGUCCGCCGGGCGGUCCUGGCCGUAGGUCGCCAAAAGCGCUUGGGCCUC
Non-coding RNA from Mycobacterium avium subsp. paratuberculosis, 75 nucleotides. It matches the Rfam family "ASpks TB sRNA". The record is from Rfam. Lineage: Bacteria; Bacillati; Actinomycetota; Actinomycetes; Mycobacteriales; Mycobacteriaceae.